RNAcentral lists this ribosomal RNA (449 nucleotides) under uncultured bacterium. RNAcentral describes it as "partial 16S ribosomal RNA". It matches the Rfam family "Bacterial small subunit ribosomal RNA", at positions 28 to 523 of the family's 1533-position model. The record is from RNAcentral.
AGCGAACGCUGGCGGCAGGCUUAACACAUGCAAGUCGAGCGGGCCCUUCGGGGUCAGCGGCGGACGGGUGAGUAACGCGUGGGAACGUGCCCUCUGGUCUGGAAUAACCCUGGGAAACUAGGGCUAAUACCGGAUACGCCCUUUUGGGGAAAGGCUUGCUGCCGGAGGAUCGGCCCGCGUCUGAUUAGCUAGUUGGUGGGGUAACGGCCUACCAAGGCGACGAUCAGUAGCUGGUCUGAGAGGAUGAUCAGCCACACUGGGACUGAGACACGGCCCAGACUCCUACGGGGGGCAGCAGUGGGGAAUAUUGGACAAUGGGCGCAAGCCUGAUCCAGCCAUGCCGCGUGCGUGAUGAAGGCCUUAGGGUUGUAAAGCUCUUUUAUCCGGGACGAUAAUGACGGUACCGGAGGAAUAAGCCCCGGCUAACUUCGUGCCAGCCGCCGCGGUAA